UACAGAGGUCUCAAGCGUUGUUCGGAUUCAUUGGGCGUAAAGGGUGCGUAGGCGGCGCGGUAAGUCGGGUGUGAAAUUUCGAGGCUUAACUUCGAAACUGCAUUCGAUACUGCCGUGCUUGAGGACUGGAGAGGAGACUGGAAUUUACGGUGUAGCGGUGAAAUGCGUAGAGUUCAUGAGGAAGACCAGUGGCGAAGGCGGGUCUCUGGACAGUUCCUGACACUGAGACACGAAGGCCAGGGGAGCAAACGGG
This 253-nucleotide ribosomal RNA is filed under the name uncultured bacterium. Its description in RNAcentral is "partial 16S ribosomal RNA". It matches the Rfam family "Bacterial small subunit ribosomal RNA", at positions 524 to 776 of the family's 1533-position model. The record is from RNAcentral.